AAGAAUGAAUACUAUCACAAAUAAUAAAUCAAGGAGACUAACUCUUAAAUAAGAUACAGUUUGCAUUUUCUCGCCUAAGAAAGCAUUUUUUAAAAUUAGUACAAGCCUAAGUCUUGGUGUUAUUUGUUUGCUCUCGUUCAUAAUAGGAUUGCUUUAUAAUUAUUUAGUUUUUUAAAGUGUGUCUAUUAUUCUAAAAACUUAUAGUCCUGAGUGUCUUAAUUUUUUCUAGAAAAAUUUGCAAUAGCUAUUUCUGGCCAUUGUUAGUAGGUUCAAACUGAUUAUGUAACUAAAGUGCUUCCACCAUGAAAAAAGUGGUACAUUACAUUUUCUAUAGAGUCUUUCAUAAUUCAUCCCGAUCAAAGCAGUGAGCUGAACUGAGACCAUAAACAGCUCACAAAUGUUUCACAACAUAAUCAAUGAAGUACCAAUGAUAUCUCAAAAAUAGCUGCAAGGUUAUCUGUAGUGCUUUAUAGUUACAAAUAUGCUGUCAAAAUUAGAUUUUCUUUCCUUUUCCUGAGUUUAGUAAGCACUUUUGUUUCUAGUCAUUUAACCAACUCCUUUAGUUCUGGAGUUCUAUAAAGUUCACUCACAGAGGAAUUGAACCAUUGAUGGGGGACUGACUGCUGGCUAUACCUUCCUAAAUAUCAUCUCUUUGCUAAUCACCUCCUUACUAAAUACUAUAACAAUCCUCAGAUGCAUAUGCUUAAGGACAAAUCUUAAUUUGCAGGACAUUCUUCCCGCUGGUUGGUAAUGCCCAAGUGGUCCUUCUUUAGGCUGAGCAGUGUUAGAUGUUCAUGAUUACCAUUUCCACUCUUUUGUUCAUGUCCAUGCAGGUUUAUGACUCCAACUGCUCCUGCUCUAGGGAGGCUGAUCUUGGUCAUGAUGAUCUGCAUUCAGCUGCAUCUUCAGCUUUGGGCACCAGGCAGCCCUGUGACCUCAGGUCUUCAAGGAGCCUGGUGGAGCAUCGACGUUCAGGAAACGUUUCCUGGAAAGAGUUGCCAGUGAGUGGAAUCCUCAAGGACAAGUACAAAAGAAACCUUUCGUAUUUUGUUUCAUAGCAGCAUCUAGUGUGGUGCCUGUGGAUGGGUUCCCUGAAGCUAUCCAAUUGAUAUGUCACUGAGCAUUUGGAAAUUGUCGUUAUGAAGGGCAGUUGAAGAGUAAAUUUUUUUUUCUGCGACAUCUUUGUUCACAGCUGUGCCUUGUAGUAUACCCAGGGAGGGAUUUAAAAACAAACAAAAAACUGGAGGGAGAAGAAAGAAUGAGGAAAAUGAUAAAUUGUGUUGGAAAUCAUCUAAUGAUGAGCCUGUUCUGGGAAAUCCUUAACCACAGGAAUGAGCUUCACCUGGUGU
This 1349-nucleotide long non-coding RNA is filed under the name Homo sapiens (human). RNAcentral's name for it is "HSALNT0082735". The record is from RNAcentral. Lineage: Eukaryota; Metazoa; Chordata; Mammalia; Primates; Hominidae.